RNAcentral lists this ribosomal RNA (492 nucleotides) under uncultured bacterium. RNAcentral's name for it is "partial 16S ribosomal RNA". It matches the Rfam family "Bacterial small subunit ribosomal RNA", at positions 29 to 507 of the family's 1533-position model. The record is from RNAcentral.
AGUGAACGCUGGCGGUAGGCCUAACACAUGCAAGUCGAACGGCAGCACAGUAAGAGCUUGCUCUUACGGGUGGCGAGUGGCGGACGGGUGAGGAAUACAUCGGAAUCUACUUUUUCGUGGGGGAUAACGUAGGGAAACUUACGCUAAUACCGCAUACGACCUACGGGUGAAAGCAGGGGAUCUUCGGACCUUGCGCGAUUGAACGAGCCGAUGUCGGAUUAGCUAGUUGGCGGGGUAAAGGCCCACCAAGGCGACGAUCCGUAGCUGGUCUGAGAGGAUGAUCAGCCACACUGGAACUGAGACACGGUCCAGACUCCUACGGGAGGCAGCAGUGGGGAAUAUUUGACAAUGGGCGCAAGCCUGAUCCAGCCAUACCGCGUGGGUGAAGAAGGCCUUCGGGUUGUAAAGCCCUUUUGUUGGGAAAGAAAAGCAGCAGGUUAAUACCCCGCUGUUCUGACGGUACCCAAAGAAUAAGCACCGGCUAACUUCGUG